RNAcentral lists this transfer RNA (76 nucleotides) under Promethearchaeota archaeon. RNAcentral describes it as "tRNA-Thr". It matches the Rfam family "tRNA". Rfam says of the family: Transfer RNA (tRNA) molecules are approximately 80 nucleotides in length. Their secondary structure includes four short double-helical elements and three loops (D, anti-codon, and T loops). Further hydrogen bonds mediate the characteristic L-shaped molecular structure. tRNAs have two regions of fundamental functional importance: the anti-codon, which is responsible for specific mRNA codon recognition, and the 3' end, to which the tRNAs corresponding amino acid is attached (by aminoacyl-tRNA synthetases). tRNAs cope with the degeneracy of the genetic code in two manners: having more than one tRNA (with a specific anti-codon) for a particular amino acid; and 'wobble' base-pairing, i.e. permitting non-standard base-pairing at the 3rd anti-codon position. The record is from RNAcentral. Lineage: Archaea; Promethearchaeati; Promethearchaeota. RNAcentral also lists the same sequence under 1 other name.
GCCAGUAUGGCUUAGUGGCUAUAGCGGCUGACUUGUAAUCAGCAGGUCAAGGGUUCAAUCCCCUUUACUGGCUCCA